AAUUAAUAAAUAAAAUAAGAUUAUGUUUCAUUAUUAACUUAUAACCUUUUAACAGUAAAGUUCAAAGGUUUUCAGAACUGGUAUAAUAUAGAAUAUUUUAAUAUAAAAUGUAGAAAAUUCUGAAUGUCUGAUGAAAAAUAUUUUUGAUGAAUAUAUUAGAUUUUUUUUUGGAAAUAUUACAUUGUGUGUUUAGGGUAUGAGAUUUAAAGAUUCUUUAAAGAUAUCUCAGAGUGACUGAGUGAGUCUUACAUAAAUAAUUAAAUAAAGGGAAAAUUGAAAAUAUACAACAAAAGAACUAGUAGAUUGUCUCUAUGCCAUAAUAUGAACUAGAAGUUGUCCACUUAAUAUAAUUUUUUAUGUAAAUCCAAAUAAGUCCCUAAUCUAAGCCUAAAACGUUUUUUGUAAAUUUAAUGGUUAAAAAAAGGUAAAAAGUAAAAAAAAAAAACAGAUAGUAAAUAAACAAAAGGGGAUAAUCCCAAUUCUUGACUUAGAACCCUAAUUUCGCCUCCUCCUUUGGCGAUGCCAGGAGGUGUGCCCAAGCUCCCAAAGAUCCAACCGGCGGAUAUCCAAGCCGCCGUAGGAUGGGGUGUCGCCGCCGCAGCCGGCGCCAUCUGGGUCGUCCAACCAUUUGAUUGGAUAAAGAAGACAUUUAUUGA
Molecule: long non-coding RNA, 656 nt
Organism: Brassica napus (rape)
Lineage: Eukaryota; Viridiplantae; Streptophyta; Magnoliopsida; Brassicales; Brassicaceae
Exons: 2
Source: RefSeq, a predicted model, not a curated record